AUACUGCCUCUAGUGAACUACUGAAAAGUUACCUGUACAAAACUGGAAAUCAUUACCUAUUAUUAGACCUUGUGGUCAGUGUGAAAAUUGCAGGCUUGUAUAAAUUUUUUAAAUAUAGAUAGUGACA
Molecule: long non-coding RNA, 127 nt
Organism: Bufo bufo (common toad)
Lineage: Eukaryota; Metazoa; Chordata; Amphibia; Anura; Bufonidae
Exons: 3
Source: RefSeq, a predicted model, not a curated record